Anneissia japonica is the source of this 539-nucleotide long non-coding RNA. RefSeq lists it as uncharacterized. NCBI's taxonomy places the organism in Eukaryota, Metazoa, Echinodermata, Crinoidea, Comatulida, Comatulidae. The transcript has 5 exons. The record is from RefSeq and is a predicted model, not a curated record.
GCAAUUUUUAUUUUUGUUUCAUAGGGUGCUGUUAAAAUUUCCGAAGCCCUUAUUCAACCGAACCAGAAACCGACCUUGGAAACACAACUUGACGUUGUUGCCAAUGUUGAGCGAAUUUUCUUCGACAGAAUACCGGAACUAUCAAAUAAUGACACCUUCACAUAUGCAUCAAUAAAUAUUGCCCUGAAUAUGCAUCCACUAAAAUCCAGGAGCGACCCUUGGUUUCAUUUCUAUAAGGAAAGCGGCAAGCUAACCAGUAAAAGUACGGACUCAAAUUCCUUCGAAGGCGAAGCAUCCGUUCAAUUGAAGUCGAAUGGACUUAGCGACGAAGGUUCUGUGAAUUUGUUAGUGUCGUAUUUUGAACGAUCUGUAUUUGAGUCAAGCAGCUCUAACAACAAAAAUGAUUACUUUCAGUUACAAAGUGGCGACCAGACUACAUAUAAAUUGCAGAGUGGAUUGUUAGCGUGCAAACUAAUGAAAAAUUACACCAGCUAUUCAACGGCCAUUGAUUUUGUUAUGGCUGUGAAGGUAGAGGUAUG